AUUGAACGCUGGCGGAAUGCUUUACACAUGCAAGUCGAACGGCAGCACGGGGGCAGCCCUGGUGGCGAGUGGCGAACGGGUGAGUAAUACAUCGGAACGUGCCCGGUCGUGGGGGAUAACGUAGCGAAAGUUACGCUAAUACCGCAUACGAUCUGAGGAUGAAAGCGGGGGACCUUCGGGCCUCGCGCGAUCGGAGCGGCCGAUGUCAGAUUAGGUAGUUGGUGGGGUAAAGGCCUACCAAGCCGACGAUCUGUAGCUGGUCUGAGAGGACGACCAGCCACACGGGGACUGAGACACGGCCCAAACCCCUACGGGAGGCAGGAGUGGGGAAUUUUGGAAAAGGGGCGCAAGCCUGAUCCAGCCAUUCCGCGGGAAGGACGAAGGCCUUGGGUUUGUAAACUUCUUUUGUACGGAACGAAAAGGCUCUGGCUAAUCCCUGGGGCUCAUGACGGUACCGAAAGAAUAAGCACCGGCUAACUACGU
RNAcentral lists this ribosomal RNA (483 nucleotides) under uncultured bacterium. Its description in RNAcentral is "partial 16S ribosomal RNA". It matches the Rfam family "Bacterial small subunit ribosomal RNA", at positions 29 to 506 of the family's 1533-position model. The record is from RNAcentral.